This 316-nucleotide long non-coding RNA is filed under the name Sorghum bicolor (sorghum). RNAcentral describes it as "long non-coding RNA (SBIC_LNC007560)". Lineage: Eukaryota; Viridiplantae; Streptophyta; Magnoliopsida; Poales; Poaceae. The record is from RNAcentral.
UCUGUAUGUAAUAAUUCUAUCAUAUUCCUGCUUUUUUUUCCUAUUUAUUUAUGCGUUGAUUUUAUACUGUGUUUCAACUUUCAAAGGGGCCCUCGCUGAGAACACUAUUUUCAGAAUUCUAGAGACGAGUGAUUUGGUGCUGUCCACGUAGGCCUGUCUGCUCCACCAUGGCCUUUGUGAGUUGUGACGGCCAGCCUUGGCCGCGGAGAAGACCGGAGGAAACAAGUGAGUUGUUGCCCCCCAACAGUACGCACGCAAACACACAGCGACAACGCAGGGAAACUUCCUUGUCGAGCAGAGAGGAGGCCUCCCUGGC